This is a non-coding RNA of Schistocerca piceifrons (Central American locust), 80 nucleotides long. The record is from the annotation of a RefSeq genome assembly. Lineage: Eukaryota; Metazoa; Arthropoda; Insecta; Orthoptera; Acrididae.
GCUUGGGUAGCUCAGUUGGUAGAGCACUUGCCUGCGACGCGCGACCGAUACGGUCGCAGGUUCGAAUCCUGCCUCGGGCA